UCUAGUGUCACAAAAACUAGUAAAAAGAAAGUGUUCUUGUGAUUUUCAGAAAUGUUCCAAAGCAGAGCAUGUCGACAGCAGGAGGACGGUUAAAGCAGAAAGGUUGACCAAGGAGGAUGCAAUAUUCAUCUUGAAUAUUAAACACUGUACGAAAUGCCUUUCAAUAAAUGGAAGCAAUAGUGAGGAAGAAGGUGGAUUCCUAUUCUGUGUGAUGUAUGCAUAUAAUUCAUCAGAGGGAAGCAUUCUGGACCAAAUAAUUUGAGGCACGGUAUCGAGGGAAAAGAACUCAUUCCUUCAUGAAGAGGCACUUUUAGAGAUACCCACUGGCCUUGCUAGGAACCUGUGCAGGCAAAAUGGAUCCCAUCGCAAGAUCUGAACAGGACAUUGCCCCAGAGAUGAUUGAUCAUAGCAACAGUGAAGAGUAAGAGGAGGUAACAAUUUAUAGAUAAGUAAUUAUUAUCCUCUCAGCUGUUUUGCUUGCUACUUGCAAAUAUAGAAACGUAUUUAAUAUAAUUUUGAGGAUAUGCAGAAUAUUUUUAGUUUUG
Molecule: long non-coding RNA, 545 nt
Filed under: Struthio camelus australis
Lineage: Eukaryota; Metazoa; Chordata; Aves; Struthioniformes; Struthionidae
Description: lncRNA (ENSSCUG00000016854.1)
Source: RNAcentral